This 253-nucleotide ribosomal RNA is filed under the name uncultured bacterium. Its description in RNAcentral is "partial 16S ribosomal RNA". It matches the Rfam family "Bacterial small subunit ribosomal RNA", at positions 524 to 776 of the family's 1533-position model. The record is from RNAcentral.
UACAGGGGGGGCAAGCGUUGUUCGGAAUUACUGGGCGUAAAGGGCCCGUAGGCGGCCAACUAAGUCACACGUGAAAUCCCCAGGCUUAACCUGGGAACUGCGUGUGAUACUGGAUGGCUUGAAUUCGGGAGAGGGAUGCAGAAUUCCAGGUGUAGCGGUGAAAUGCGUAGAUAUCUGGAGGAACACCGGUGGCGAAGGCGGCAUCCUGGACCGGCAUUGACGCUGAGGCGCGAAAGCCAGGGGAGCAAACGGG